Molecule: ribosomal RNA, 492 nt
Filed under: uncultured bacterium
Lineage: Bacteria
Description: partial 16S ribosomal RNA
Rfam family: Bacterial small subunit ribosomal RNA
Source: RNAcentral
AGUGAACGCUGGCGGUAGGCCUAACACAUGCAAGUCGAACGGCAGCACAGUAAGAGCUUGCUCUUACAGGUGGCGAGUGGCGGACGGGUGAGGAAUACAUCGGAAUCUACUUUUUCGUGGGGGAUAACGUAGGGAAACUUACGCUAAUACCGCAUACGACCUACGGGUGAAAGCAGGGGAUCUUCGGACCUUGCGCGAUUGAAUGAGCCGAUGUCGGAUUAGCUAGUUGGCGGGGUAAAGGCCCACCAAGGCGACGAUCCGUAGCUGGUCUGAGAGGAUGAUCAGCCACACUGGAACUGAGACACGGUCCAGACUCCUACGGGAGGCAGCAGUGGGGAAUAUUGGACAAUGGGCGCAAGCCUGAUCCAGCCAUACCGCGUGGGUGAAGAAGGCCUUCAGGUUGUAAAGCCCUUUUGUUGGGAAAGAAAAGCAGCAGGUUAAUACCCCGCUGUUCUGACGGUACCCAAAGAAUAAGCACCGGCUAACUUCGUG